AUUGAACGCUGGCGGCAUGCCUUACACAUGCAAGUCGAACGGCAGCACGGGUGCUUGCACCUGGUGGCGAGUGGCGAACGGGUGAGUAAUAUAUCGGAACGUACCUUAUCGUGGGGGAUAACGCAGCGAAAGCUGCGCUAAUACCGCAUACGCCCUGAGGGGGAAAGCGGGGGACCGUAAGGCCUCGCGCGAUUAGAGCGGCCGAUAUCUGAUUAGCUUGUUGGUGGGGUAAAAGCCCACCAAGGCGACGAUCAGUAGCUGGUCUGAGAGGACGAUCAGCCACACUGGGACUGAGACACGGCCCAGACUCCUACGGGAGGCAGCAGUGGGGAAUUUUGGACAAUGGGGGCAACCCUGAUCCAGCAAUGCCGCGUGAGUGAAGAAGGCCUUCGGGUUGUAAAGCUCUUUUGUCAGGGAAGAAACAGCAGCUCUAACACAGUCUGCGAAUGACGGUAC
This 456-nucleotide ribosomal RNA is filed under the name Polynucleobacter sp. Fw70-35. RNAcentral's name for it is "bacterial SSU rRNA". It matches the Rfam family "Bacterial small subunit ribosomal RNA", at positions 30 to 478 of the family's 1533-position model. RNAcentral also lists the same sequence under 1 other name. The record is from RNAcentral. Lineage: Bacteria; Pseudomonadati; Pseudomonadota; Betaproteobacteria; Burkholderiales; Burkholderiaceae.